Molecule: ribosomal RNA, 520 nt
Filed under: uncultured archaeon
Lineage: Archaea
Description: bacterial SSU rRNA
Rfam family: Archaeal small subunit ribosomal RNA
Source: RNAcentral
AAUGCCCAAAGGUGGGGACGGGGCUCCCCGAGUGCUCUCCGCUGAAGAAAGCUUUUCCCUGGGGGUACCUUUUUGGGGGAGUAGGGAGAGGGCAAGACUGGUGUCAGCCGCCUCGGUAAUACCAGCUCUCCGAGUGGUAGGGAUGAUUAUUGGGCUUAAAGCGUCCGUAGCUGGCUUAGCAAGUCUCCUGUUAAAUUCAGCGACCUAAUCGUUGACCCGCGGGAGAUACUACUAGGCUAGGAGGCGGGAGAGGUCGACGGUACUUCCGGGGUAGGGGUGAAAUCCUAUAAUCCCGGGAGGACCACCAGUGGUGAAGGCUGUCGACUAGAACGCGCUCGACGGUGAGGGACGAAAGCUGGGGGAGCGAACCGGAUUAGAUACCCGGGUAGUCCCAGCUGUAAACGAUGCGGGCUAGGUGUUGGGGUGGCUACGUGCCACUUCAGUGCCGCAGGGAAGCCAUUAAGCCCGCCGCCUGGGGAGUACGGCCGCAAGGCUGAAACUUAAAGGAAUUGGCGGGGGA